This 387-nucleotide long non-coding RNA is filed under the name Medicago truncatula (barrel medic). RNAcentral describes it as "long non-coding RNA (MTRU_LNC005337)". Lineage: Eukaryota; Viridiplantae; Streptophyta; Magnoliopsida; Fabales; Fabaceae. The record is from RNAcentral.
ACAUCAGAUGGAUCCACACCAUAGAAGACUGGUAAAACUUCUAGACCCUUAUUGCUGCAUUCCAUGAUCAUUUGAAGUUCAUCCAAACACCAGGUGGAGGAAGCAUAGUCUGGUGAGAGGACAGUGAUGGCAAACAUAGAAUCUUUAAUUGCAUUGAUUAGCUUUUCUGAAAUGACUUGCCCUCUCUCAAGGUCUUUGUCAUCUCUAAAAGUUGUUAUCCCUUUUCUUUCAAGGGCAGCACAUAAAUGAUCAGUGAAUCCUUUGCGUGUAUCUUCUCCUCGAAAACUCAAAAACACAUGGUAGCUGCAUAAACUUGUGGUUGAACUUGAUCUGCAAGAAGAAGAAGAAGAGGCUUCCAUUUGUUCAACAAUUGCUACAACUUUUCAU